AUGCCUGAAUUGUUUCCCAUCUCAACUGUCCAACCAGCUUGGCUUGCUGAUAUUGCUCUCAACUACUCACAAGACAAAUUUUCCACUGACCUGCUGCAGAAGCUUUCUUCUUUUGGUGAGUAUGACAACAAAUUCUCUUUGAAGUCUCGAUUUCUACGAGUGGACAAAUAUAUCUGGGUAGGUGCAGAUUCAAAGUUGCAACACACUAUUGUGAAUGCGUUCCACGACAGUCCAAUUGGGGGCCACUCAGGUUUUCCAGUCACUUUUAAGCGUGUCAGUCAGCUUUUUCGUUGGCAAGGUAUGCGCAGUUUCAAAAACAGUAUGUCAAAAACUGCAUCAUAUGUCAGCAAGCAAAACCUGAGCGAGUCCCUUACCCGGGUUUAUUACAUCCUUUACCUGUGCCUGACUUGCUCUGGGAGAUGGUGA
This 426-nucleotide ribosomal RNA is filed under the name Triticum aestivum (bread wheat). RNAcentral describes it as "partial small subunit ribosomal RNA". Lineage: Eukaryota; Viridiplantae; Streptophyta; Magnoliopsida; Poales; Poaceae. The record is from RNAcentral.